RNAcentral lists this ribosomal RNA (268 nucleotides) under uncultured bacterium. RNAcentral's name for it is "partial 16S small subunit ribosomal RNA". It matches the Rfam family "Bacterial small subunit ribosomal RNA", at positions 1106 to 1373 of the family's 1533-position model. The record is from RNAcentral.
UAUCCUAUGUUGCCAGCGCGUAAUGGCGGGGACUCUAUUCAGACUGCCCAGAUCAACUGGGAGGAAGGUGGGGACGACGUCAGGUCAGUAUGGCCCUUAGCCCUAGGGCUGCACACGUACUACAAUGCCCAGCACAAUGAGAACCAAUACCGCGAGGUGGAGGAAAUCUGUAAAACUGGGCCCAGUUCGGAUUGGAGGCUGCAACUCGCCUCCAUGAAGUUGGAAUCGCUAGUAAUGCCGUAUCAGCUACGACGGCGUGAAUACGUUC